RNAcentral lists this microRNA precursor (59 nucleotides) under Choloepus hoffmanni (Hoffmann's two-fingered sloth). Its description in RNAcentral is "miRNA (ENSCHOG00000015930.1)". Lineage: Eukaryota; Metazoa; Chordata; Mammalia; Pilosa; Megalonychidae. The record is from RNAcentral.
GGUGACCAACUGCCCUGGUUUGCCUGGGACUGAAGGGUUUCCUGGUAAGCGGGGCUUUC